This 520-nucleotide unclassified non-coding RNA is filed under the name uncultured Entrophospora. RNAcentral describes it as "SSU rRNA". It matches the Rfam family "Eukaryotic small subunit ribosomal RNA", at positions 569 to 1084 of the family's 1831-position model. Lineage: Eukaryota; Fungi; Glomeromycota; Glomeromycetes; Entrophosporales; Entrophosporaceae. The record is from RNAcentral.
AGCAGCCGCGGUAAUUCCAGUUCCAAUAGCGUAUAUUAAAGUUGUUGCAGUUAAAAAGCUCGUAGUUGAAUUUCGGGAUUGACACAUCGGUCGUGCCUUAAGGGGUAUGAACUGGUGUAGUCAAUUUCUCACCUUCUGGAGAACCGCGAUGCCCUUAAUUGGGUGUCGCGGGGAACCAGGACCUUUACUUUGAAAAAAUUAGAGUGUUUAAAGCAGGCAUUUUGCUUGAAUACAUUAGCAUGGAAUAAUAAAAUAGGACGGCAUGAUUCUAUUUUGUUGGUUUCUAGGAUCACCGUAAUGAUUAAUAGGGAUAGUUGGGGGCAUUAGUAUUCAAUUGUCAGAGGUGAAAUUCUUGGAUUUAUUGAAGACUAACUACUGCGAAAGCAUUUGCCAAGGAUGUUUUCAUUAAUCUAAGAACGAAAGUUAGGGGAUCGAAGACGAUCAGAUACCGUCGUAGUCUUAACCAUAAACUAUGCCGACUAGGAAUCAGACGAUGUUAAUUUUUUAAUGACUCGUUGGC